Molecule: long non-coding RNA, 409 nt
Organism: Cephus cinctus (wheat stem sawfly)
Lineage: Eukaryota; Metazoa; Arthropoda; Insecta; Hymenoptera; Cephidae
Exons: 2
Source: RefSeq, a predicted model, not a curated record
GUAUGUCAAGCAUAUACUAUAGUAAAAUUUUAGUUCCAAUCCCGGCGGGUAGAUGGCGCCCCGAAAAUCCCAAGUGUGGACACACGACGUCAUCACGCGGCAUCGUGUAAACGCGCCUGAAAUUAGGGCAAUAAUAGAAACGCGCCUUAAGCUAGGGCAUCGUGUGGACGCGCCCUAUGAAAAAGCGACGCUACGCCUCGCGUGGCGUCAGUAGCCAGUAGACAAUGCGUGUGUUACUGUACUGAUCACCUAAAACACGGCUUCGUAGCUGCAAACAUUAUCUCCUAUUCCCUACACAAGCUAUCUUGUGACGCUGCCUAUGAGUGAGGAUUUGUACUAAAAGAGACUGUAGCGCGCACGCGCAAAUUGUUUGCAAGAAACAAGCACCAUUUGUUCCGAGUGACAUUAA